GACGAACGCUGGCGGCGUGGAUUAGGCAUGCAAGUCGAACGGUAUCAUCCUUUCGGGGGUGAGAGAGUGGCGAACUGGUGAGUAACACGUAGGUUAUCUACCCUCAAGACGGGGACAACCCAGGGAAACUUGGGCUAAUACCGGAUGUGAGCAACUUUUAGUUGUUUGAAAGGUGGCGUAAGCUGUCGCUUGGGGAUGAGCCUGCGUCCUAUUAGUUAGUUGGUGAGGUAACGGCUCGCCUAGGCAAUGAUAGGUAGGCGGCCUUAACGGGUGGUCGCCCACACUGGGAUUGAGAUACGGCCCAGACUCCUACGGGAGGCAGCAGUCGAGAAUAGUCUACAAUGGUCGGAAGACUGAUAGUGCGACGCCGCGUGAACGAUGAAUCCCUUCGGGGUGUAAAGUUCUUUUAUAUGUGAGCAGUGCUUCUUAUAUUAACAGUAUGGGGAGAGAGAUAUUAGCAUAUGAAUAAGCAACGGCUAACUCCGUGCCAGCAGCCGCGGU
This 501-nucleotide ribosomal RNA is filed under the name uncultured bacterium. RNAcentral's name for it is "bacterial SSU rRNA". It matches the Rfam family "Bacterial small subunit ribosomal RNA", at positions 28 to 521 of the family's 1533-position model. The record is from RNAcentral.